UACGUAGGAGGCAAGCGUUGUCCGGAUUUAUUGGGCGUAAAGAGCGUGUAGGCGGUUCGGUAGGUCCGUUGUGAAAACUCGAGGCUCAACCUCGAGACGCCGAUGGAAACCAUCGAACUAGAGUCCGGAAGAGGAGAGUGGAAUUCCUGGUGUAGCGGUGAAAUGCGCAGAUAUCAGGAAGAACACCCGUGGCUAAGGCGGCUCUCUAGUACGGUACUGACGCUGAGACGCGAAAGCGUGGGGAGCGAACAGG
RNAcentral lists this ribosomal RNA (253 nucleotides) under uncultured bacterium. Its description in RNAcentral is "partial 16S ribosomal RNA". It matches the Rfam family "Bacterial small subunit ribosomal RNA", at positions 524 to 776 of the family's 1533-position model. The record is from RNAcentral.